Molecule: ribosomal RNA, 379 nt
Filed under: uncultured Erysipelothrix sp.
Lineage: Bacteria; Bacillati; Bacillota; Erysipelotrichia; Erysipelotrichales; Erysipelotrichaceae
Description: bacterial SSU rRNA
Rfam family: Bacterial small subunit ribosomal RNA
Source: RNAcentral
UCUAGAGAUAGAGUGGAGGUUAUCCGGGAGUACAGGUGGUGGCAUGGUUGUCGUCAGCUCGUGUCGUGAGAUGUUGGGUUAAGUCCCGCAACGAGCGCAACCCUUGUCUUUAGUUACCAUCAUUCAGUUGGGGACUCUAGAGAGACUGCCGGUGAUAAACCGGAGGAAGGUGGGGAUGACGUCAAAUCAUCAUGCCCCUUAUGGCCUGGGCUACAAACGUAAUACAAUGGCGUAUACAAAGGGAUGCGAAAGGGCGACCUGGAGCAAAACUCACAAAGUACGUCUCAGUUCAGAUUGGAGUCUGCAACUCGACUCCAUGAAGGCGGAAUCGCUAGUAAUCGCGGAUCAGCAUGCCGCGGUGAAUACGUUCUCGGGGUUU